Molecule: ribosomal RNA, 761 nt
Filed under: Mecodema validum
Lineage: Eukaryota; Metazoa; Arthropoda; Insecta; Coleoptera; Carabidae
Description: partial 16S ribosomal RNA
Rfam family: Bacterial large subunit ribosomal RNA (bases 387-545)
Source: RNAcentral
GUCCUUUUGUUUUAUAUUUAAGGUUUAACCUGCCCACUGAAUAAUUUAAAUGGCCGCAGUAUUUUAACUGUGCAAAGGUAGCAUAAUCAUUAGUUUUUUAAUUAAAAGCUUGUAUGAAAGGUUGGACGAGGUAAAAACUGUUUCUAUUUAAUUAAUUAUAAAAUUUAAUUUUUAAGUUAAAAAGCUUAAAUUUUUUUAAAAGACGAGAAGACCCUAUAGAUCUUUAUAUUUAUUAUUUUAUUUUUAAUUUAGAUUUAUUUAAAUUUUAUUAUAUUAAAUAUUUUAUUGGGGUAAUAAGAAGAUUAAAAAAAUUCUUUUAUAUAUUAUUCAUUGAUUAAUGUUUUAAUGAUCCAAUUUUAUUGAUUAUAAGAUUAAGUUACCUUAGGGAUAACAGCGUAAUUUUUUUAGAGAGUUCAUAUCGAUAAUAAAGUUUGCGACCUCGAUGUUGGAUUAAAGAUUAAUUUAGGUGUAGAAGUUUAAAUUUUUGGUCUGUUCGACCAUUAAAUCUUUACAUGAUCUGAGUUCAGACCGGUGUAAGCCAGGUCGGUUUCUAUCUUUAAUAAUAUAAUAUAUUUUAGUACGAAAGGACCAAAUAUAUAAUAUAUAAAUAUUUAUUAAUUUUUGAAUAUUAUUAAUUACUUUGGCAGAUUAGUGCAAUGAAUUUAGAAUUCAUAUAUGUAAAUUUUUACAAGUAAUACUUGUUUUAUAUAGAUAUAAUAUUUUCUUUUAUUUGUAUAUUAUUAUUAAUUAUUUGUGUAUUA